Molecule: long non-coding RNA, 570 nt
Organism: Plutella xylostella (diamondback moth)
Lineage: Eukaryota; Metazoa; Arthropoda; Insecta; Lepidoptera; Plutellidae
Source: RefSeq, a predicted model, not a curated record
AUUAUUAGGGAAAUGGCAAUUUUCACGAACAGCCUUUGGUAUUUGGAAUUUUUUGCUUUCGCUAUAAUUUUGAUUGGAUUUUUCUUGUACGUGGUUUAUUUAGGGGCUAACUCCCCUCCCUACAACACUCGGUACGACAUGAAAAGAAAAUACCUCUUUGACGGAACAUGGCUAGCGCAGUGAAAAAGCAUUGUAUUGAAUAGAACAAGUUCUCAUGUCUGAUCAACGAAAUCGACAAAAUAUAGAUACGAGUAUCAGGAAUCCAGAAGAUGUGAUUAAACUUCAGAAGCUGAAAGUAAAAGUGGACACCCGGCCAUUCUAUUGUGACCCUAGCUGCAUAUGGUUUUUAAGACUAUUCUUCAGUAUAGCUACCAUUGCCGUGUGUUAUUUUUUCGCUUACACUUUCAUCACACAUACAAAGUUACGAUUUGGACUAUUUAUUCCUUGAGUGGCUGAAAAUUUAUUCAUAUAGGUACAGAUAAAACCUAAUUGCGCAUUUUAUUAGAUGCGAAAUGUGUUUGCAAAAAUUUUAACGAUGUUUAUAUGAAAAUAAAUAUAAUAUGUAAUAUA